CGAUCCUUGCCAAGGCUCUUAGAACCCGGUUUCUUAAUUGCCGUGGACAUGAUCUUAGACAAAAUGCCUCACUGGGUUUGUCUUCUACCUUGCUAGCAUCCGACCAAUGGGGACAUUA
Molecule: small nucleolar RNA, 118 nt
Organism: Sorex araneus (European shrew)
Lineage: Eukaryota; Metazoa; Chordata; Mammalia; Eulipotyphla; Soricidae
Product: small nucleolar RNA, H/ACA box 32
Source: Ensembl